GUCGAACGCUUCUUUUUCCCCGGAGCUUGCUCCACCGGAAAAAGAGGAGUGGCGAACGGGUGAGUAACACGUGGGUAACCUGCCCAUCAGAAGGGGAUAACACUUGGAAACAGGUGCUAAUACCGUAUAACAAUCGAAACCGCAUGGUUUUGAUUUGAAAGGCGCUUUCGGGUGUCGCUGAUGGAUGGACCCGCGGUGCAUUAGCUAGUUGGUGAGGUAACGGCUCACCAAGGCGACGAUGCAUAGCCGACCUGAGAGGGUGAUCGGCCACAUUGGGACUGAGACACGGCCCAAACUCCUACGGGAGGCAGCAGUAGGGAAUCUUCGGCAAUGGACGAAAGUCUGACCGAGCAACGCCGCGUGAGUGAAGAAGGUUUUCGGAUCGUAAAACUCUGUUGUUAGAGAAGAACAAGGAUGAGAGUAACUGUUCAUCCCUUGACGGUAUCUAACCAGAAAGCCACGGCUAACUACGUGCCAGCAGCCGCGGUAAUACGUAGGUGGCAAGCGUUGUCCGGAUUUAUUGGGCGUAAAGCGAGCGCAGGCGGUUUCUUAAGUCUGAUGUGAAAGCCCCCGGCUCAACCGGGGAGGGUCAUUGGAAACUGGGAGACUUGAGUGCAGAAGAGGAGAGUGGAAUUCCAUGUGUAGCGGUGAAAUGCGUAGAUAUAUGGAGGAACACCAGUGGCGAAGGCGGCUCUCUGGUCUGUAACUGACGCUGAGGCUCGAAAGCGUGGGGAGCAAACAGGAUUAGAUACCCUGGUAGUCCACGCCGUAAACGAUGAGUGCUAAGUGUUGGAGGGUUUCCGCCCUUCAGUGCUGCAGCUAACGCAUUAAGCACUCCGCCUGGGGAGUACGACCGCAAGGUUGAAACUCAAAGGAAUUGACGGGGGCCCGCACAAGCGGUGGAGCAUGUGGUUUAAUUCGAAGCAACGCGAAGAACCUUACCAGGUCUUGACAUCCUUUGACCACUCUAGAGAUAGAGCU
This 981-nucleotide ribosomal RNA is filed under the name Enterococcus sp. SK103. RNAcentral's name for it is "bacterial SSU rRNA". It matches the Rfam family "Bacterial small subunit ribosomal RNA", at positions 61 to 1013 of the family's 1533-position model. The record is from RNAcentral. Lineage: Bacteria; Bacillati; Bacillota; Bacilli; Lactobacillales; Enterococcaceae.